RNAcentral lists this ribosomal RNA (588 nucleotides) under Candida albicans. RNAcentral describes it as "eukaryotic LSU rRNA". It matches the Rfam family "Eukaryotic large subunit ribosomal RNA", at positions 70 to 664 of the family's 3401-position model. The record is from RNAcentral. Lineage: Eukaryota; Fungi; Ascomycota; Pichiomycetes; Serinales; Debaryomycetaceae.
CGGAAUUUGGCCCUCCCUGCGGCGAGUGAAGCGGCAAAAGCUCAAAUUUGAAAUCUGGCGUCUUUGGCGUCCGAGUUGUAAUUUGAAGAAGGUAUCUUUGGGCCCGGCUCUUGUCUAUGUUCCUUGGAACAGGACGUCACAGAGGGUGAGAAUCCCGUGCGAUGAGAUGACCCGGGUCUGUGUAAAGUUCCUUCGACGAGUCGAGUUGUUUGGGAAUGCAGCUCUAAGUGGGUGGUAAAUUCCAUCUAAAGCUAAAUAUUGGCGAGAGACCGAUAGCGAACAAGUACAGUGAUGGAAAGAUGAAAAGAACUUUGAAAAGAGAGUGAAAAAGUACGUGAAAUUGUUGAAAGGGAAGGGCUUGAGAUCAGACUUGGUAUUUUGCAUGCUGCUCUCUCGGGGGCGGCCGCUGCGGUUUACCGGGCCAGCAUCGGUUUGGAGCGGCAGGAUAAUGGCGGAGGAAUGUGGCACGGCUUCUGCUGUGUGUUAUAGCCUCUGACGAUACUGCCAGCCUAGACCGAGGACUGCGGUUUUUAACCUAGGAUGUUGGCAUAAUGAUCUUAAGUCGCCCGUCUUGAAUCCCGGGAACCA